AUGGCCUGGACUCCUCUGCUCCUCGCGCUCCUCUCUCUCUGCACAGGGUCCCUCUCCCAGCCUGUGCUGACCCAGCCGCCCUCCCUGACUGCGUCCCCUGGAGCAUCGGCCGGCCUCCCCUGCACCCUGAGCAGUGGCUCUGUCGUUGCGGGCUACCACAUUGUCUGGUACCAGCAGAAUCCGGGGAGCCCUCCCAGGUAUCUCCUGAGGUUUAAAGGUGACUCAGACAAGCACCAGGGCUCCGGGGUCCCCAGCCGCUUCUCUGGAUCCAAAGACACGUCGGCCAACGCGGGGCUCCUGCUCAUCUCGGGGCUGCAGCCCGAGGACGAGGCUGACUAUUACUGUGCGACUUACCACGGCAACAGCGGCACUCACACGGCGGCCCAGGGCCAUGGGGAAGUGAGCCUCAAACCCUCAGGGGGCCCUUCCUGCCUGGGCUGUCACCCCUGCCCUGCCUGGAGCCGCGUCUCACUCAGGGAGACAUCCCUUGUCGCUCGCUCAGGGGCCAUCUCUUUUCCUGGGACCCAGGGCUGA
Eptesicus fuscus (big brown bat) is the source of this 534-nucleotide non-coding RNA. The record is from the annotation of a RefSeq genome assembly. Lineage: Eukaryota; Metazoa; Chordata; Mammalia; Chiroptera; Vespertilionidae.